AGAACGAACGCUGGCGGCAGGCUUAACACAUGCAAGUCGAACGGUUGUAGCAAUACAGCAGUGGCAGACGGGUGAGUAACACGUGGGAACCUUCCUAGGGGUACGGAACAACUCAGGGAAACUUGAGUUAAUACCGUAUACGUCCGUGAGGAGAAAGAUUUAUCGCCCCUAGACGGGCCCGCGUAGGAUUAGGUAGUUGGUGAGGUAACGGCUCACCAAGCCUACGAUCCUUAGCUGAUCUGAGAGGAUGAUCAGCCACACUGGGACUGAGACACGGCCCAGACUCCUACGGGAGGCAGCAGUGGGGAAUCUUGGACAAUGGGCGCAAGCCUGAUCCAGCCAUGCCGCGUGAGUGAAGAAGGCCUUCGGGUUGUAAAGCGUCUUUUACCGUAGGGACGAUAAUGACGGUACCUGGAGAAUAAGCCCGGCAAACUUCGUGCCAGCAGCCGC
Molecule: ribosomal RNA, 450 nt
Filed under: uncultured bacterium
Lineage: Bacteria
Description: SSU rRNA
Rfam family: Bacterial small subunit ribosomal RNA
Source: RNAcentral